UAAACAGUAAUGCGAGGAAAUAGUAACAGUUCAGCUUCCUAAAGAGAGUCGAUGACUGGUGUGAAUCGACGUUAGCUGCCUGCGAAUCCAUCCUUAAACUGGUUUACUGAAUGUACGUUCAAGUAAGUAAACCCGGAUAAAAACCGUUAACAUUUUCGAGCCGGAAGAAUUAAUUUCUUCAAUCAGGGUGGCAUCGCGGGAAUUCAUACUCUCGUCCCUAUU
Molecule: non-coding RNA, 222 nt
Filed under: Virgibacillus sp.
Lineage: Bacteria; Bacillati; Bacillota; Bacilli; Caryophanales; Bacillaceae
Description: T-box sequence
Rfam family: T-box leader
About the family: Uncharged tRNA acts as the effector for transcription antitermination of genes in the T-box leader family.
Source: RNAcentral